This 253-nucleotide ribosomal RNA is filed under the name uncultured bacterium. RNAcentral describes it as "partial 16S ribosomal RNA". It matches the Rfam family "Bacterial small subunit ribosomal RNA", at positions 524 to 776 of the family's 1533-position model. The record is from RNAcentral.
UACAGAGGUCUCAAGCGUUGUUCGGAUUCAUUGGGCGUAAAGGGUGCGUAGGCGGCGCGGUAAGUCGGGUGUGAAAUCUCGGAGCUUAACUCCGAAACUGCAUUCGAUACUCCCGUGCUUGAGGACUGGAGAGGAGACUGGAAUUUACGGUGUAGCGGUGAAAUGCGUAGAUAUCGUAAGGAAGACCAGUGGCGAAGGCGGGUCUCUGGACAGUUCCUGACGCUGAGGCGCGAAAGCGUGGGGAGCAAACAGG